This 513-nucleotide ribosomal RNA is filed under the name uncultured bacterium. Its description in RNAcentral is "partial 16S ribosomal RNA". It matches the Rfam family "Bacterial small subunit ribosomal RNA", at positions 28 to 523 of the family's 1533-position model. The record is from RNAcentral.
GACGAACGCUGGCGGCGUGCCUAAUACACGCAAGUAGAGCGCUGAAGAAAGGAGCUUGCUUCUUUUGGAUGAGUUGCGAACGGGUGAGUAACGCGUAGGUAACCUGCCUUGUAGCGGGGGAUAACUAUUGGAAACGAUAGCUAAUACCGCAUAGCAGCUUUUGACACAUGUUAGAAGCUUGAAAGAUGCAAUUGCAUCGCUACGAGAUGGACCUGCGUUGUAUUAGCUAGUAGGUAGGGUAACGGCCUACCUAGGCGACGAUACAUAGCCGACCGGAGAGGGUGAUCGGCCACACUGGGACAGAGACACGGCCCAGACUCCUACGGGAGGCAGCAGUAGGGAAUCUUCGGCAAUGGGGGCAACCCUGACCGAGCAACGCCGCGUGAGUGAAGAAGGUUUUCGGAUCGUAAAGCUCUGUUGUAAGAGAAGAACGUGUGUGAGAGUGGAAAGUUCACACAGUGACGGUAACUUACCAGAAAGGGACGGCUAACUACGUGCCAGCCGCCGCGGUAA